ACGGGAGGCAGCAGUAGGGAAUAUUGCACAAUGGGGGAAACCCUGAUGCAGCAACGCCACGUGUGGGAAGAAGCAUUUCGGUGUGUAAACCACUGUCGUGAAGGAAUAAUGCCUGGUCUCGGCCAGGUUGAAUGUACUUUGAAAGGAAGCACCGGCAAACUUCGUGCCAGCAGCCGCGGUAAUACGAGGGGUGCAAGCGUUGUUCGGAAUCACUGGGCGUAAAGGGAGCGCAGGCGGAGAUGCAAGGGGACUGUACAAUACCGGGGCCCAACCCCGGACCUGCAGUCCGGACUGCACCUCUUGGAUAGUUCAGGGGCAAGCGGAAUUCCUGGUGUAGCGGUGGAAUGCGUAGAGAUCAGGAAGAACACCGAUGGCGAAGGCAGCUUGCUGGGGGCUAAUCGACGCUCAUGCUCGAAAGUGCGGGUAGCAAACAGGAUUAGAUACCCUGGUA
This 451-nucleotide ribosomal RNA is filed under the name uncultured Fibrobacter sp. Its description in RNAcentral is "partial 16S ribosomal RNA". It matches the Rfam family "Bacterial small subunit ribosomal RNA", at positions 341 to 792 of the family's 1533-position model. The record is from RNAcentral. Lineage: Bacteria; Pseudomonadati; Fibrobacterota; Fibrobacteria; Fibrobacterales; Fibrobacteraceae.